This is a long non-coding RNA of Clupea harengus (Atlantic herring), 785 nucleotides long. RefSeq lists it as uncharacterized. The record is from RefSeq and is a predicted model, not a curated record. Lineage: Eukaryota; Metazoa; Chordata; Actinopteri; Clupeiformes; Clupeidae. The transcript has 2 exons.
GUGUGUGUGUGUGUGUGUGUGUGUGUGUGUGUGUGUGUGUGUGUGUGCGUGUGUGUCCCAGUCCCCAUAUUAAAUACAGUCAGACCUGAGAUAGGGAUUAAGACUAAAACCUAACCCAGACUAGACCUAAGGACUUGUAGCAGUCUGAGGAGAAGUUUAAAGAGAAGAGAAGUUUAGAGAGAAGAGAAGGUUAUAGAGAAGAGACGUUUAAAGAGAAGAUAAGUUUAUAGAGAAGAGAAGUUUAAAGAAAAGAGAAGUUUAAAGAUAGACAUACGUGAAUGUGCCUCUCUGUUUGAACCAAGACUUUAUCAGGAGUAGGAAAAGUCCUCGUGAGGAGGACUAAGGUUGUGGUCAGGUAGUCCAAAAAUACAUCCUGUGUCUUUUCCUAACUAUUUUUCCUUGACCUUGAUGGAAAACGUCAAAGAGGUCAAAGAAAGAUGUGAAGGAGAAUUCACAAGGACCUGGGAAAGACAUCCGCAGUGCUAGGAGAAUCCCACUGCACUUGCUCUAGGCCACGUGAUUAUGCAACGGCGGAUGUUAUUGACGCGGGUCGUACUGAUUGUUCGAUGUUUCUGCCACAAGGAAUUGUGGGUCGCCAUUAUCUCCUUUCCUAAGAGAGAGCGGGGAGGAGAAUCAGUCAAGCAUUUAGGCUCGAAUAAGGGAAGGUGAUCACCAUAUCACCACCAUAUACUGUAGGUCCGCAACCUCUUAGUGUGGCCCCCAAUCACAGUGGCUAGAUAGGUUUGGUUUACAGACAUCAGCCAAGAUAAACAUAAACAAACAAA